GGUGGCUCAGUGGUAGAGUGCUUGCCUGGCAUGCAUGAGGCCCUGGGUUCGAUACCUUUGCACCA
RNAcentral lists this transfer RNA (65 nucleotides) under Dipodomys ordii (Ord's kangaroo rat). It matches the Rfam family "tRNA". Rfam says of the family: Transfer RNA (tRNA) molecules are approximately 80 nucleotides in length. The record is from Rfam by way of RNAcentral. Lineage: Eukaryota; Metazoa; Chordata; Mammalia; Rodentia; Heteromyidae.